GGUCUUACAAUCAUCCAAGUCCUAGAUGAAGGCGGCGGCGGCGACAUCAACUAUUUUUCUUCUGAACAUCAUAGAAUCUCAUAACUCUACAAUGCAGCACUCCCGAACUGCAGGUGAGCUGUGCUCAAGCUUAGGGGGGAGCCUAAUCGCAGGAGGCAAAAGAGGGGGAGCCCCAUGAGAAGUGGAUGUGCCGGCCCGCCUAGCUCUCUCCCUUUCACAGGCUAAGUACCUCUGACGGGCAUCCCUUGCAAUGGCAUUCCACUAUCUCAUUCGGUUCUUAAUUAAUUCUAAAGGUGGC
Molecule: long non-coding RNA, 298 nt
Filed under: Elaeis guineensis (African oil palm)
Lineage: Eukaryota; Viridiplantae; Streptophyta; Magnoliopsida; Arecales; Arecaceae
Description: long non-coding RNA (EGUI_LNC047279)
Source: RNAcentral